This 497-nucleotide ribosomal RNA is filed under the name uncultured bacterium. Its description in RNAcentral is "partial 16S ribosomal RNA". It matches the Rfam family "Bacterial small subunit ribosomal RNA", at positions 28 to 507 of the family's 1533-position model. The record is from RNAcentral.
GAUGAACGCUGGCGGCAUGCCUAAUACAUGCAAGUCGAGCGAACGGACGAGAAGCUUGCUUCUCUGAUGUUAGCGGCGGACGGGUGAGUAACACGUGGAUAACCUACCUAUAAGACUGGGAUAACUUCGGGAAACCGGAGCUAAUACCGGAUAAUAUUUUGAACCGCAUGGUUCAAAAGUGAAAGACGGUCUUGCUGUCACUUAUAGAUGGAUCCGCGCUGCAUUAGCUAGUUGGUAAGGUAACGGCUUACCAAGGCAACGAUGCAUAGCCGACCUGAGAGGGUGAUCGGCCACACUGGAACUGAGACACGGUCCAGACUCCUACGGGAGGCAGCAGUAGGGAAUCUUCCGCAAUGGGCGAAGGCCUGACGGAGCAACGCCGCGUGAGUGAUGAAGGUCUUCGGAUCGUAAAACUCUGUUAUUAGGGAAGAACAUAUGUGUAAGUAACUGUGCACAUCUUGACGGUACCUAAUCAGAAAGCCACGGCUAACUACGUG